Long non-coding RNA from Sorghum bicolor (sorghum), 472 nucleotides. RefSeq lists it as uncharacterized. The record is from RefSeq and is a predicted model, not a curated record. The transcript has 2 exons. Lineage: Eukaryota; Viridiplantae; Streptophyta; Magnoliopsida; Poales; Poaceae.
CCCGGCAUGGGCGGGGUCGAGCCGGCCGUCACGCUGGACUAGGUGCCACGCUGGAGCGACCCCGACCAGCGCAUCUUCCUCGCCUCCACGUCCGACGAGGCAUCCGCGGAGGGCGCCGGAUCCGAGGCGACCUCCGCGUCCGGCAUCCUCUCCUUCUCCGACCGCUCACGGUCGACGACGACAGCGCCGGUGCGGGUGGCUCUUACCUCGAUCGCUCGAGGGUCCACAGGGCUCCAGGAUCUCGGUGCGACCACGGUGCGAGUCUCCUGGAUCAGGUUUCUAGAUCCGCCAGUCCAGUCUCUAGGUGCUCCGGUAUCGUCCACGUGCCACCACGGUGCGAGUCGGAGCUGGAGCUGGCGCGCAUGCUGCAUGUGAGCAAAUAGGUUGUUGGGCUGGAGUUGAAGUAAAUUUUAAGUCCUUAUUGUAUGUAGCCCAGCAUUCAAAUGAAAAAAAAAUAGAGACUCAAUUUGCA